This is a non-coding RNA of Heterocephalus glaber (naked mole-rat), 440 nucleotides long. Lineage: Eukaryota; Metazoa; Chordata; Mammalia; Rodentia; Bathyergidae. The record is from RefSeq and is a predicted model, not a curated record.
CGUACGGUAGUAAUAAUGCUCAUGUGCCCGCCCACUAGAUUGUAUGUACGCCAGGGCAGGCACCAUCCGACACAGUGACCUCUGCUUCUCCGGACAGGGAGAGUGUCCAGGCCGUCCCCAGGUUCUGUCCUCUGCUUCGUGCUUGCCUUAUGAUGCUCUUACCCACCUGGCUCUGCCCGGAGGAUGGAGACUUGCCAUGCUGGAAGAGGAGAAGGCACCACUUCUUCUGGUCUGCUGGCUGUGGGCUUGGCUUUCAGGCUGGAACUCAGGACCUUGUGCUUGCCAGGCAGGUGCAGCGGGCUACAUCCCUGGCCCAACAUGUCCUUUUGAUGCAAGUGACAUUUGUAUUUAAUGUACCAAAUUGUUAAUCUAAGUUUUAUAAUGUAAUUUAUACCAAUCCUUUCAAAGAUGGCAUUAUCUAACCUUUAAAGUAUGAAUAA